Aethina tumida (small hive beetle) is the source of this 456-nucleotide long non-coding RNA. RefSeq lists it as uncharacterized. NCBI's taxonomy places the organism in Eukaryota, Metazoa, Arthropoda, Insecta, Coleoptera, Nitidulidae. The transcript has 2 exons. The record is from RefSeq and is a predicted model, not a curated record.
CUAAAGUAUUAUUUGUGAACUCCAUGAAGAGAGAAGCUGGCUUACUCAAGCACAAAGAUUUACUCUAAAGGGACAUGUUGAAAUAUUAAAGAACUGAACCAAAAGGUAUCCCACAGCUUCAAUUUUAUGUAUGAAAUUUAUGAGUGUGCACCUUCAAAUGAGAUAUAUUGGUCCAGACACAGCAUACCCCAUCAAAGAACUGAGGAUUUCAAGAACCAAAUCAUGACCAGCAACAAAAAAUUAUGAUUUAAGUAACUUACACAGCAUAAAAAUUAAUAAUAACGGGGGUCCUGGUUCUCAAAAUUAAAUUGCCUUUUCAUUUAAUAAUUUGUGGUACCACUUCUAUGAAAAUAAAAUUUAAUUUUUUGAAACUAGAUCCCAGUUACUGUUAACAUUUGUGCUGGGUAAGUUCACCUAGAUCGUGACUUUUUGCUGGAGGUACUGCGGAACUGGAAG